RNAcentral lists this ribosomal RNA (497 nucleotides) under uncultured bacterium. Its description in RNAcentral is "partial 16S ribosomal RNA". It matches the Rfam family "Bacterial small subunit ribosomal RNA", at positions 28 to 507 of the family's 1533-position model. The record is from RNAcentral.
GACGAACGCUGGCGGCGUGCCUAAUACAUGCAAGUUGAGCGCUGAAGGUUGGUACUUGUACCUACUGGAUGAGCAGCGAACGGGUGAGUAACGCGUGGGUAAUCUGCCUUUGAGCGGGGGACAACAUUUGGAAACGAAUGCUAAUACCGCAUAAAAACUUUAAACACAAGUUUUAAGUUUGAAAGAUGCAAUUGCAUCACUCAAAGAUGAUCCCGCGUUGUAUUAGCUAGUUGGUGAGGUAAAGGCUCACCAAGGCGAUGAUACAUAGCCGACCUGAGAGGGUGGUCGGCCACAUUGGGACUGAGACACGGCCCAAAACCCUACGGGAGGCAGCAGUAGGGAAUCUUCGGAAAUGGACGAAAGUCUGACCGAGCAACGCCGCGUGAGGGAAGAAGGGUCUCGGAUCGUAAAAAUCCGUUGGUAGAGAAGAACGUUGGUGAGAGUGGAAAGCUCAUCAAGUGACGGUAACUACACAGAAAGGGACGGCUAACUACGUG